Molecule: long non-coding RNA, 264 nt
Organism: Polypterus senegalus (gray bichir)
Lineage: Eukaryota; Metazoa; Chordata; Cladistia; Polypteriformes; Polypteridae
Exons: 3
Source: RefSeq, a predicted model, not a curated record
CUGGAAAGCAAGUGUUUCUUCACCAGCUAUUCUCAGAUGCCACAGCUUUAAACAAUGGAACACACCAAUCUCACUCGCCACUUCGUGGCAUGGCAAGAGUGUACCCUGAAGAUCUGGACUCUAAUGGGCUGGCUCCAGCCUCUGAACCUACCUGACCAGAGAAGAUAUCAGUUCCUAAACCGAAGGACGACCGAUAACGCCACUGCUUCAUUGCUGUGUUUGUAUGCACUGAAGUGGCAGCUCAUAUUUGAAUAAAUGCUGAGA